UACAGAGGGUGCAAGCGUUGUUCGGAAUUACUGGGCGUAAAGCGCGUGUAGGCGGUUUGCCAAGUCUAGUGUGAAAGCCCCGGGCUCAACCCGGGAAGUGCGCGAGAAACUGGCAGACUGGAGUGUCGGAGAGGAUGGCGGAAUUCCCGGUGUAGAGGUGAAAUUCGUAGAUAUCGGGAGGAACACCUGUGGCGAAGGCGGCCAUCUGGACGACAACUGACGCUGAGACGCGAAAGCGUGGGUAGCAAACAGG
RNAcentral lists this ribosomal RNA (253 nucleotides) under uncultured bacterium. RNAcentral describes it as "partial 16S ribosomal RNA". It matches the Rfam family "Bacterial small subunit ribosomal RNA", at positions 524 to 776 of the family's 1533-position model. The record is from RNAcentral.